GUCAUCACCUACUUCUUCACAUCCUCCAUGACGGUGAGGGACAUGGCAAUGAAGGCAACAUCUGAGAAAGCAUCAUGCAUGAAUCAUCUCCCCUCCUCCCUCCCUCUCUUGUAGGUGGCCAUUGGCCAGAUCUUGCCUACAGGAAUAAAGAGGAUGAAGAAGGUGUGAUGGACAAGGAUGGAGAGAGCAUCAUCCUAGCCUUGUCAUUUUAGGUGCGGUAGGAUCAAUAUAUUCUAUAAUAGCAAUGUUCUCAUGCUUUACAAUAGCAUAGCCAAAUUAUAUAUA
This 285-nucleotide long non-coding RNA is filed under the name Oryza brachyantha (malo sina). Its description in RNAcentral is "long non-coding RNA (OBRA_LNC003199)". The record is from RNAcentral. Lineage: Eukaryota; Viridiplantae; Streptophyta; Magnoliopsida; Poales; Poaceae.